AGAUGCACGUGUAUUUUUAUAAAGAAAAGUUGAAAUCAUUUGUGAAAGCUGAAUCACAGAAGGGCGGUCUUGUAAUAUUUAAAAUGAAGAUCCAGUGUUCGGAAAACGAUCUUAAUUUCGAGGAAAUGGAAAAAAUUAUAAAUAAGGUGCGAUCCAUAAAAUUCAACAGCUCCGUUACGUCCAUUUCCCUUAGCGAGUUUUGUAGCUGUAACAGUUCCAACAUACAUAUUUUACCAAGGAUCCUUGGAUUAUCCGCCUUGCUCGGAAUCUGUAACUUGGAUCGAACCUAUGUAUACUCUGAAUUUAUCUAAAGAACUGGUUAAUGGAUUCAGGAAAAUAAAGUUGGAAGGGGAAGACACGUCGAAUAUUAGACCACCCCAGCCGCGAAACAAACGUCCAAUUCAUACGGUGUUUGCGACAGAUAGCCUUGCCGAUUAUCCAAAUAGCUUUGAAGGAAAUUCCUCGCCCCGAAUGUCCUAAACAAAUGCGAGCCCCUUUAAUAAAACUACGGCUGCGGGUGGU
Belonocnema kinseyi is the source of this 522-nucleotide long non-coding RNA. RefSeq lists it as uncharacterized. The transcript is spliced from 3 exons. The record is from RefSeq and is a predicted model, not a curated record. NCBI's taxonomy places the organism in Eukaryota, Metazoa, Arthropoda, Insecta, Hymenoptera, Cynipidae.